CAAGCUAGAGUGCGGUAGGGGAGAAGGGAAUUCCUGGUGUAGCGGUGGAAUGCGCAGAUAUCAGGAGGAACACCGAUGGCGAAGGCACUUCUCUGGGCCGUAACUGACGCUGAGGAGCGAAAGCGUGGGGAGCGAACAGGAUUAGAUACCCUGGUAGUCCACGCCGUAAACGGUGGGUGCUAGUUGUGGGUCACAUUCCACGUGAUCCGUGACGCAGCUAACGCAUUAAGCACCCCGCCUGGGGAGUACGGUCGCAAGACUAAAACUCAAAGGAAUUGACGGGGGCCCGCACAAGCGGCGGAGCAUGCGGAUUAAUUCGAUGCAACGCGAAGAACCUUACCAAGGCUUGACAUAUAGAGGAAAAGCGUAGAAAUACGCUCCCCGCAAGGUCUCUAUACAGGUGGUGCAUGGUUGUCGUCAGCUCGUGUCGUGAGAUGUUGGGUUAAGUCCCGCAACGAGCGCAACCCUCGUCCUAUGUUGCCAGCACGUAAUGGUGGGAACUCAUGGGAGACUGCCGGGGUCAACUCGGAGGAAGGUGGGGAUGACGUCAAAUCAUCAUGCCCCUUAUGUCUUGGGCUUCACGCAUGCUACAAUGGCCGGUACAGAGGGCUGCAAUACCGUAAGGUGGAGCGAAUCCCAAAAAGCCGGUCUCAGUUCGGAUUGAGGUCUGCAACUCGACCUCAUGAAGUCGGAGUCGCUAGUAAUCGCAGAUCAGCAACGCUGCGGUGAAUACGUUCCCGGGCCUUGUACACACCGCCCGUCAAGUCACGAAAGUCGGUAACACCCGAAGCCGGUGGCCUAACCGUA
RNAcentral lists this ribosomal RNA (807 nucleotides) under uncultured Actinomycetes bacterium. Its description in RNAcentral is "bacterial SSU rRNA". It matches the Rfam family "Bacterial small subunit ribosomal RNA", at positions 637 to 1443 of the family's 1533-position model. Lineage: Bacteria; Bacillati; Actinomycetota; Actinomycetes. The record is from RNAcentral.